UAUUGUUUGAAAUUAAUAUUUUGUUGUUUCCUCUGCUAAAGAUCAGAUUUUUAGGUAAACAAAUAUCUUCAUGUUUCAGAAUUUUCAGUGUAAGUUUUAGAGAGGCUUAUAUGUGGUAGUGGUGUGGGGAAUAUGUUUGGACAAAAUGGGGCAUUGUUUGGUCAUAAUUUUUUUUUUAUUUGGGUAUAGACAGACAGGUUUAAAAAAUAAGUGCAUCUCCUUGGUAAGAUUUUUUUUUUUUAACCUUA
This 248-nucleotide long non-coding RNA is filed under the name Homo sapiens (human). RNAcentral describes it as "non-protein coding lnc-ZEB2-12:1". The record is from RNAcentral. Lineage: Eukaryota; Metazoa; Chordata; Mammalia; Primates; Hominidae.